AUGAACGCUAGCGGCAGGCUUAACACAUGCAAGUCGAGGGGUAACAGGGAAGCUUGCUUCCGCUGACGACCGGCGCACGGGUGCGUAACGCGUAUAGAACCUACCUUUUACAGAGGGAUAGCCUUUAGAAAUGAAGAUUAAUACCUCAUAGUACUAUAGGUUCGCAUGAAUUUAUAUUUAAAGAUUUAUCGGUAAAAGAUGGCUAUGCGUCCUAUUAGCUAGAUGGUAAGGUAACGGCUUACCAUGGCAACGAUAGGUAGGGGUCCUGAGAGGGAGAUCCCCCAACUGGUACUGAGACACGGACCAGACUCCUACGGGAGCAGCAGUGAGGAAUAUUGG
Molecule: ribosomal RNA, 339 nt
Filed under: uncultured Flavobacteriales bacterium
Lineage: Bacteria; Pseudomonadati; Bacteroidota; Flavobacteriia; Flavobacteriales
Description: SSU rRNA
Rfam family: Bacterial small subunit ribosomal RNA
Source: RNAcentral